Molecule: ribosomal RNA, 404 nt
Filed under: Fusobacteriota bacterium
Lineage: Bacteria; Fusobacteriati; Fusobacteriota
Description: Fusobacteria bacterium partial 16S ribosomal RNA
Rfam family: Bacterial small subunit ribosomal RNA
Source: RNAcentral
UGGGGAAUAUUGCACAAUGGAGGGAACUCUGAUGCAGCGACGCCGCGUGAGUGAUGAAGGAAUUCGUUUCGUAAAACUCUGUUCUAUGGGAAGAAAAGGACUGUACCAUAGGAGAAAGCUCCGGCUAAAUACGUGCCAGCAGCCGCGGUAAUACGUAUGGAGCGAGCGGUGUCCGGAAUUAUUGGGCGUAAAGGGUGCGCAGGCGGCUUUACAAGUUGGAUGUGAAAUAUUGUGGCUCAACCACAAACGUGCAUCCAAAACUGCAAAGCUUGAGUUAAGGAGAGGUAAGAGGAAUUCCUGGUUUAGCGGUGGAAUGCGUAGAUAUCAGGAGGAAUACCGGUGGCGAAGGCGACUUACUGGACUUAAACUGACGCACAGGCACGAAAGCGUGGGGAGCAAACAGG